AACGCUGGCGGCGUGCCUAAUACAUGCAAGUCGAGCGAGCGGAACUAACAGAUUUACUUCGGUAAUGACGUUAGGAAAGCGAGCGGCGGAUGGGUGAGUAACACGUGGGUAACCUGCCCAAGAGAUCGGGAUAACACCUGGAAACAGAUGCUAAUACCGGAUAACAACAGAUGAUGCCUAUCAACUGUUUAAAAGAUGGUUCUGCUAUCACUCUUGGAUGGACCUGCGGUGCAUUAGCUAGUUGGUAGGGUAACGGCCUACCAAGGCGAUGAUGCAUAGCCGAGUUGAGAGACUGAUCGGCCACAUUGGGACUGAGACACGGCCCAAACUCCUACGGGAGGCAGCAGUAGGGAAUCUUCCACAAUGGACGCAAGUCUGAUGGAGCAACGCCGCGUGAGUGAAGAAGGGUUUCGGCUCGUAAAGCUCUGUUGUUGGUGAAGAAGGACAGGGGUAGUAACUGACCUUUGUUCGACGGUAAUCAAUUAGAAAGUCACGGCUAACUACGUGCCAGCAGCCGCGGUAAUACGUAGGUGGCAAGCGUUGUCCGGAUUUAUUGGGCGUAAAGCGAGUGCAGGCGGCUCGAUAAGUCUGAUGUGAAAGCCUUCGGCUCAACCGGAGAAUUGCAUCAGAAACUGUCGAGCUUGAGUACAGAAGAGGAGAGUGGAACUCCAUGUGUAGCGGUGGAAUGCGUAGAUAUAUGGAAGAACACCAGUGGCGAAAGGCGGCUCUCUGGUCUGCAACUGACGCUGAGGCUCGAAAGCAUGGGUAGCGAACAGGAUUAGAUACCCUGGUAGUCCAUGCCGUAAACGAUGAGUGCUAAGUGUUGGGAGGUUUCCGCCUCUCAGUGCUGCAGCUAACGCAUUAAGCACUCCGCCUGGGGAGUACGACCGCAAGGUUGAAACUCAAAGGAAUUGACGGGGGCCCGCACAAGCGGUGGAGCAUGUGGUUUAAUUCGAAGCAACGCGAAGAACCUUACCAGGUCUUGACAUCUAGUGUCAUUUGUAGAGAUACAAAGUUCCCUUCGGGGACGCUAAGACAGGUGGUGCAUGGCUGUCGUCAGCUCGUGUCGUGAGAUGUUGGGUCAAGUCCCGCAACGAGCGCAACCCUUGUUAUUAGUUGCCAGCAUUAAGUUGGGCACUCUAAUGAGACUGCCGGUGACAAACCGGAGGAAGGUGGGGAUGACGUCAAGUCAUCAUGCCCCUUAUGACCUGGGCUACACACGUGCUACAAUGGGCAGUACAACGAGAAGCGAGCCUGCGAAGGCAAGCGAAUCUCUGAAAGCUGUUCUCAGUUCGGACUGCAGUCUGCAACUCGACUGCACGAAGCUGGAAUCGCUAGUAAUCGCGGAUCAGCACGCCGCGGUGAAUACGUUCCCGGGCCUUGUACACACCGCCCGUCACACCAUGGGAGUCUGCAAUGCCCAAAGCCGGUGGCCUAACCUUCGGGAAGGAGCCGUCUAAGGCAGGGCAGAUGACUGGGGUGAAGU
This 1486-nucleotide ribosomal RNA is filed under the name uncultured bacterium. RNAcentral's name for it is "bacterial SSU rRNA". It matches the Rfam family "Bacterial small subunit ribosomal RNA". The record is from RNAcentral.